RNAcentral lists this ribosomal RNA (309 nucleotides) under uncultured bacterium. Its description in RNAcentral is "partial 16S ribosomal RNA". It matches the Rfam family "Bacterial small subunit ribosomal RNA", at positions 504 to 807 of the family's 1533-position model. The record is from RNAcentral.
AGAGACAGCAGUCGCCGCGGUAAUACGGAGGGUGCAAGCGUUAUCCGGAUUUAUUGGGUUUAAAGGGUCCGUAGGCGGACUCGUAAGUCAGUGGUGAAAUCUCAUAGCUUAACUAUGAAACUGCCAUUGAUACUGCGGGUCUUGAGUAAGGUAGAGGUAGCUGGAAUAAGUAGUGUAGCGGUGAAAUGCAUAGAUAUUACUUAGAACACCAAUUGCGAAGGCAGGUUACCAUGUCUUAACUGACGCUGAUGGACGAAAGCGUGGGGAGCGAACAGGAUUAGAUACCCGAGUAGUCCCUGUCUCUUAUAC